Coniochaeta sp. 2T2.1 is the source of this 110-nucleotide non-coding RNA. The record is from the annotation of a GenBank genome assembly. Lineage: Eukaryota; Fungi; Ascomycota; Sordariomycetes; Coniochaetales; Coniochaetaceae.
GGCUGGAUCGUCAAGUGGUAUGAUGCUUCGUUCGGGAAAUUAUGGCUCCCGGUCGUAAGCAAUUAUGACUAUUAUGGAAGAGGUCCCGGGUUCGAACCCCGGUUCGGCCC